AUUGAACGCUGGCGGCAGGCUUAACACAUGCAAGUCGAGCGGGGGGAGGUAGCUUGCUACCGGACCUAGCGGCGGACGGGUGAGUAAUGCUUAGGAAUCUGCCUAUUAGUGGGGGACAACACCUCGAAAGGGAUGCUAAUACCGCAUACGUCCUACGGGAGAAAGCAGGGGAUCUUCGGACCUUGCGCUAAUAGAUGAGCCUAAGUCGGAUUAGCUAGUUGGUGGGGUAAAGGCCUACCAAGGCGACGAUCUGUAGCGGGUCUGAGAGGAUGAUCCGCCACACUGGGACUGAGACACGGCCCAGACUCCUACGGGAGGCAGCAGUGGGGAAUAUUGGACAAUGGGGGGAACCCUGAUCCAGCCAUGCCGCGUGUGUGAAGAAGGCCUUAUGGUUGUAAAGCACUUUAAGCGAGGAGGAGGCUACUUUAGUUAAUACCUAGAGAUAGUGGACGUUACUCGCAGAAUAAGCACCGGCUAACUCUGUGCCAGCCGCCGCAGUAA
This 501-nucleotide ribosomal RNA is filed under the name uncultured bacterium. RNAcentral's name for it is "partial 16S ribosomal RNA". It matches the Rfam family "Bacterial small subunit ribosomal RNA", at positions 30 to 523 of the family's 1533-position model. The record is from RNAcentral.